UUUGAGAUGGCCUCUCGCCCUAUUCAGUGUAACAGCUGUGGUAGUGGGUUUGGUCGCUCGCAUUUAAAUUGGAAGGGUAAUGGUGGACCGCACUUCUCCCUUAGUAGGACGUUGCGACCUGUCAAAUAAUAUCCUAAGUAUUUGGCUAAUUUGUCUGUUUUUAGGCAGUACUGAAAGGUAUUUCCUUUAACAGUUUUAGCCGUUUACAUACUGGAUAUAAUUGACAGUAACGAAUCAUGGUGUUGAGCCACUUACUUUGUAAGUGUCCUUUAUGGCUGUUUGCAAGUGGGUUGGUUAAUUAGUUUUAGUCGGAUUUUGGUCCGUCUAACUAUUCCGCCUACUGUUGGUAAACUGUUCCUUGGACAGUGCUUAUAACACCGGUCGGCAGCGAUUCAGGUUCAGGCUCUUAUCCGACCCGUC
RNAcentral lists this ribosomal RNA (420 nucleotides) under Triatoma sordida. RNAcentral describes it as "eukaryotic LSU rRNA". The record is from RNAcentral. Lineage: Eukaryota; Metazoa; Arthropoda; Insecta; Hemiptera; Reduviidae.